Molecule: long non-coding RNA, 347 nt
Filed under: Phasianus colchicus (ring-necked pheasant)
Lineage: Eukaryota; Metazoa; Chordata; Aves; Galliformes; Phasianidae
Description: lncRNA (ENSPCLG00000003074.1)
Source: RNAcentral
GGCUUUGCUAUGCUCUCUGCUGUAACAAGGGCUGUGCAUAGGUCCUGUGGGGCUGUGCCCUGCUGGCACAGACCUGGUUGUUGCUUCCUGAACUGAGAGGGGCUGCCAUGUUCCUGCUGUGCUCCAACAGCAUAUCCAGCAUAGAAGUAAAUAGUAAAAUUUUCAAGCCUGUGUGUGGAACUGAGAGAACUCCAACAUUUCUACCCUUGAAGGCACUCAGGAUAGGAACCUGAAAAUCUUCAAGGCCUCGGGAUCCAUGAUUUUAGGACAACUCUCAAGACCAGGCUCUGUGUUCAGAUUUGCAUCACAAAAAAUGUGUUUUCCCGGGGCAAAUGGUUGAAAGCUCC